This 253-nucleotide ribosomal RNA is filed under the name uncultured bacterium. RNAcentral's name for it is "partial 16S ribosomal RNA". It matches the Rfam family "Bacterial small subunit ribosomal RNA", at positions 524 to 776 of the family's 1533-position model. The record is from RNAcentral.
UACGUAGGGGGCAAGCGUUGUCCGGAAUCAUUGGGCGUAAAGCGCGUGUAGGCGGCCAGGUAAGUCCGUUCUGAAAGCCCGGGGCUCAACCCCGGGAGGCGGAUGGAUACUGCUUGGCUCGAGUCCGGAAGAGGCGAGUGGAAUUCCCGGUGUAGCGGUGAAAUGCGCAGAUAUCGGGAGGAACACCAAUGGCGAAGGCAGCUCGCUGGGACGGUACUGACGCUAAAGCGCGACAGCAUGGGGAGCAAACGGG